This 429-nucleotide ribosomal RNA is filed under the name Chloroflexota bacterium. RNAcentral describes it as "Chloroflexi bacterium partial 16S ribosomal RNA". It matches the Rfam family "Bacterial small subunit ribosomal RNA", at positions 355 to 776 of the family's 1533-position model. The record is from RNAcentral. Lineage: Bacteria; Bacillati; Chloroflexota.
UAGGGAAUCUUCGGCAAUGGACGAAAGUCUGACCGAGCAACGCCGCGUGAGUGAAGAAGGUUUUCGGAUCGUAAAACUCUGUUGUUAGAGAAGAACAAGGACGUUAGUAACUGAACGUCCCCUGACGGUAUCUAACCAGAAAGCCACGGCUAACUACGUGCCAGCAGCCGCGGUAAUACGUAGGUGGCAAGCGUUGUCCGGAUUUAUUGGGCGUAAAGCGAGCGCAGGCGGUUUCUUAAGUCUGAUGUGAAAGCCCCCGGCUCAACCGGGGAGGGUCAUUGGAAACUGGGAGACUUGAGUGCAGAAGAGGAGAGUGGAAUUCCAUGUGUAGCGGUGAAAUGCGUAGAUAUAUGGAGGAACACCAGUGGCGAAGGCGGCUCUCUAGUCUGUAACUGACGCUGAGGAUCGAAAGCGUGGGGAGCAAACAGG